GCAAACUUGGUCAUUUAGAGGAAGUAAAAGUCGUAACAAGGUUUCCGUAGGUGAACCUGCGGAAGGAUCAUUCACAAUUGCAAAGUGAUUUUAUGGCACUUUACAAAAAAAAUCCAUAUCCACCUUGUGUGCAACGUUUGUGUCUUCUUUUUUGAAGGCAUUUUCAUCAACCAAUUUUUUUUUAAACAAGAAUCGUCUGAAGAAAAAUAGUUUUUAAAAUUAAAAAACAACUUUCAACAACGGAUCUCUUGGCUCUCGCAUCAAUGAAGAACGCAGC
This 277-nucleotide unclassified non-coding RNA is filed under the name uncultured fungus. RNAcentral describes it as "partial contains small subunit ribosomal RNA, internal transcribed spacer 1, and 5.8S ribosomal RNA". The stretch from base 1 to 73 matches the Rfam family "Eukaryotic small subunit ribosomal RNA", at positions 1759 to 1831 of the family's 1831-position model. Lineage: Eukaryota; Fungi. The record is from RNAcentral.